GCACCUCUCUGAUUAUGCUAAAUAUUAAUUUACAAAAAUUUGCGAAUGAUUUUAGUUGCCAUACCUCAUAUGAAAUCAAGCUUGUAAAGGAAAUAAAGCUGUUGAUCUUGCCUUUUUCUUUACAGUCAUUCCAAGAAUGAAAUACUUCAUGGGUCUGGAUUUCUACUUCUACACAAGAACCUUUGAUCCCUUUGAUAUAUGUAAAAUGUCAAAGGCUGCAAUCACUAAGCAUUUUAGAAGGGGUACUUGGUUAUGUGUGUUUGUGCCAUAAACACUAACAGUAGCACCAAGAUGCUCUUCGUAUGCAUAGUUAGUUGACCAAAGCCAAAAAAAAAAAAAAAAAAAGAGAGAGAGAGAGAGAGAGCGAAAUGUUGCACUCUUCGAAGCCCCUCUUCCCUUUGUGAGAUGAUUAGAUCUUAUGCUUCUCUUUUGUUUUGCAGGCAGGGGCCAUCCACAUAACUGCCACACCAGGAAUCUCCAAUAUGCAGGGACAAGAUAACACCUGUUCUGCAUCAGGCCCUGGGACAUCCAGCUAUAUACUGAGGCAGGGGCCAUCCACAUAACUGCCACACCAGGAAUCUCCAAUAUGCAGGGACAAGAUAACACCUGUUCUGCAUCAGGCCCUGGGACAUCCAGCUAUAUACUGAGGCAGGGGCCAUCCACAUAACUGCCACACCAGGAAUCUCCAAUAUGCAGGGACAAGAUAACACCUGUUCUGCAUCAGGCCCUGGGACAUCCAGCUAUAUACUGAGGCAGGGGCCAUCCACAUAACUGCCACACCAGGAAUCUCCAAUAUGCAGGGACAAGAUAACACCUGUUCUGCAUCAGGCCCUGGGACAUCCAGCUAUAUACUGAGGCAGGGGCCAUCCACAUAACUGCCACACCAGGAAUCUCCAAUAUGCAGGGACAAGAUAACACCUGUUCUGCAUCAGGCCCUGGGACAUCCAGCUAUAUACUGAGGCAGGGGCCAUCCACAUAACUGCCACACCAGGAAUCUCCAAUAUGCAGGGACAAGAUAACACCUGUUCUGCAUCAGGCCCUGGGACAUCCAGCUAUAUACUGAGGCAGGGGCCAUCCACAUAACUGCCACACCAGGAAUCUCCAAUAUGCAGGGACAAGAUAACACCUGUUCUGCAUCAGGCCCUGGGACAUCCAGCUAUAUACUGAGGCAGGGGCCAUCCACAUAACUGCCACACCAGGAAUCUCCAAUAUGCAGGGACAAGAUAACACCUGUUCUGCAUCAGGCCCUGGGACAUCCAGCUAUAUACUGAGGCAGGGGCCAUCCACAUAACUGCCACACCAGGAAUCUCCAAUAUGCAGGGACAAGAUAACACCUGUUCUGCAUCAGGCCCUGGGACAUCCAGCUAUAUACUGAGGCAGGGGCCAUCCACAUAACUGCCACACCAGGAAUCUCCAAUAUGCAGGGACAAGAUAACACCUGUUCUGCAUCAGGCCCUGGGACAUCCAGCUAUAUACUGAGGCAGGGGCCAUCCACAUAACUGCCACACCAGGAAUCUCCAAUAUGCAGGGACAAGAUAACACCUGUUCUGCAUCAGGCCCUGGGACAUCCAGCUAUAUACUGAGGCAGGGGCCAUCCACAUAACUGCCACACCAGGAAUCUCCAAUAUGCAGGGACAAGAUAACACCUGUUCUGCAUCAGGCCCUGGGACAUCCAGCUAUAUACUGAGGCAGGGGCCAUCCACAUAACUGCCACACCAGGAAUCUCCAAUAUGCAGGGACAAGAUAACACCUGUUCUGCAUCAGGCCCUGGGACAUCCAGCUAUAUACUGAGGCAGGGGCCAUCCACAUAACUGCCACACCAGGAAUCUCCAAUAUGCAGGGACAAGAUAACACCUGUUCUGCAUCAGGCCCUGGGACAUCCAGCUAUAUACUGAGGCAGGGGCCAUCCACAUAACUGCCACACCAGGAAUCUCCAAUAUGCAGGGACAAGAUAACACCUGUUCUGCAUCAGGCCCUGGGACAUCCAGCUAUAUACUGAGGCAGGGGCCAUCCACAUAACUGCCACACCAGGAAUCUCCAAUAUGCAGGGACAAGAUAACACCUGUUCUGCAUCAGGCCCUGGGACAUCCAGCUAUAUACUGAGGUGGUGCUUCGAACCUCAGGUGACUUGACCUCGUUGGCAGCAUCCAGCGUGUCUGGCCUCUGUCUCUUCAGUGAAGAUUCAAGUGCAAUUAUACAGGAGUGGGACCUCUGUCAUCUCCCUGGUGGAUGUAUAUCACAGUAUUAAGUUGUCAUGGUUCUGAACCUCCCACCAGGGUUGAGAUUCAGGCCUUGACUAGGGUAUCUUUUUUUGCCGACUUCUGUCUCUCUUCCAGAGGGAAUGAUAGCCGCUUCUUGUUGAUUAACCUGGAGAUGUACCCUUAACCAGAAUGUCUAGAGUUUGAUGCUUGGGGAAGAUGACUUAGUGGCAUAUAUGGAGAAGGUUCCGCAAGUCCCUGUUCCACACAAAACUUCUGAACUCCAGGUUGGCUCUGGUAAUAGAAUCCUGAGUUAUUGCAGCCUGACCUUGUAUAGAUAUUCUCUCGACUGUCAAGUUUCUGCCCACACUUGCUUUAUUGGGCCAUUCAUCUAGAGCAAAGAAUUCUGGGCAUCAUUACAAAUGGAUGUCUGAGUGGACUUCGGCACAUGUUUUCUCUCUCUCUCUCUCUCCAUAUAUAUAUAUAUAUAUCCUGUUUGUUUUUGUGGGUAGAAUGGGAGUUGCAGAGGAUGAGAGAGACCCUUCAGCAGGCUCCACAUGCCUUGCAUAGCAAGACACGGUGCUCAACCAUAACCCUGAUGUCAUUACCUGAGCCAAAGCCAAAAGCUGGUCCCUUAACUGAAAGAACUUCGCAGGCAUUCCUGGACAGUCUUUGUCUUUAUGGAAGGGACCGUAAGAACCCCCUGCUGUUCUAAAAUCUACCGAAUUGGGGAGUAUUUCCACGUCUGCAGUGGUCGUAUACCCUCUCAGGCCCAGAGAUACAUAGCUGUUCUUGGUGGUGGAGAAAAGCCCUUGGCUCCCAUGUUCUCAUAGAUGGGGAGGAAGUCCUCACUGCCUGAUGCUGAACUGUCGAGGUUUUUGUGCCCUGGUGCCAACAGGUCUUCCAGAAGAGCAUCUUUGUAAAAGAUGAAAUUAAUUUGCCAGCCCCCGGGUGGCACAGAUG
Neogale vison (American mink) is the source of this 3161-nucleotide long non-coding RNA. RefSeq lists it as uncharacterized. Lineage: Eukaryota; Metazoa; Chordata; Mammalia; Carnivora; Mustelidae. The record is from RefSeq and is a predicted model, not a curated record. The transcript has 17 exons.